UACUCCUACGGGAGGCAGCAGUGGGGAAUCUUGCACAAUGGGCGAAAGCCUGAUGCAGCGACGCCGCGUGCGGGAUGAAGGCCUUCGGGUUGUAAACCGCUUUCAGCAGGGACGAGGCGAAAGUGACGGUACCUGCAGAAGAAGCCCCGGCUAACUACGUGCCAGCAGCCGCGGUAAUACGUAGGGGGCAAGCGUUAUCCGGAUUCAUUGGGCGCAAAGCGCUCGUAGGCGGUCUGUUAGGUCGGGAGUUAAAUCCGGGGGCUCAACCCCCGCUCGCUCUCGAUACCGGCAGACUUGAGUUUGGUAGGGGAAGGUGGAAUUCCUAGUGUAGCGGUGGAAUGCGCAGAUAUUAGGAAGAACACCAGUGGCGAAGGCGGCCUUCUGGGCCAUAACUGACGCUGAGGAGCGAAAGCUAGGGGAGCAAACAGGAUUAGAUACCCUGGUAGUCCUAGCCGUAAACGAUGGACACUAGGUGUGGGGGAGUAUUUCUUCCGUGCCGCAGCCAACGCAUUAAGUGUCCCGCCUGGGGAGUACGGCCGCAAGGCUAAAACUCAAAGGAAUUGACGGA
RNAcentral lists this ribosomal RNA (568 nucleotides) under uncultured bacterium. RNAcentral's name for it is "bacterial SSU rRNA". It matches the Rfam family "Bacterial small subunit ribosomal RNA", at positions 334 to 917 of the family's 1533-position model. The record is from RNAcentral.